This is a long non-coding RNA of Sycon ciliatum, 824 nucleotides long. RefSeq lists it as uncharacterized. Lineage: Eukaryota; Metazoa; Porifera; Calcarea; Leucosolenida; Sycettidae. The transcript has 4 exons. The record is from RefSeq and is a predicted model, not a curated record.
GCAUAACCAUUUCCGUUGACCCAGUGUCCAGCUUGCUUUUGUCAAAAGCUCGCCUCUCUUUCGACUACAGCCCUAACUAUUCCUCCACAAGGAGAAAAACUGGAAGCCAUUCGCGGUUCAUCGACUCUACAACAAACAACAACAUUCGUCACAGCAGUGGUGUCGUCGGAUGUCGAACGGGCGGUUUGGCGCUCGUACACAGCUGGCUCUACCGUCCACGCCGGUAUUGGUACGGUUCGUCGUUGCAUGUACGGAGCUGUCUGUCCAGCAUAUUCUAGGAUGUCACAGGUUGCACGCGGAUACUGAAGCCACCGACCACAUGUAGCGGCGCGGAGGUGAACUGCGGCUCAUCUGUGCUGACGGCAACACUGAGAGGUGCGGCGCAAAGCUAACCCAACGAACGACUUUCACCACUCCAAUCUGAGUCGGCGUGCCGACACCCUCCAUGCGCUACGAGUAUGUGAUUAUGCACUGUUUCACAUACGUGGUAACACAGUACCACCAGCACCGAAAUGAUUAUUCUGUUACUAUGGCUUUGUUGGCAAGGUCAGAGACCUCUUGUACGGACCUCUUGCACAUACGUUAAUGCGCCCACUCAAAGGCAUACACACAGAUCUUGCGCAUGAUGUCGUGUUUGCCACACAUGGUGCUAAGUCAUCAGCAGCAGCACCCUGACAUUAGCCAUGUUCAUUGCCAGAAAGAACUGUGUACACUCUACCUGCAGGUACGACAGUCGAUCCUGAAUUACGCAUGCUAUUACGCAACUGUCUCUUAUGGUGCUGUGGUUCAAUAUGUAUGCAUAGUUUUUUAAUGAAUUUUGUUCU